This 497-nucleotide ribosomal RNA is filed under the name uncultured bacterium. Its description in RNAcentral is "partial 16S ribosomal RNA". It matches the Rfam family "Bacterial small subunit ribosomal RNA", at positions 28 to 507 of the family's 1533-position model. The record is from RNAcentral.
GAUGAACGCUGGCGGCGUGCCUAAUACAUGCAAGUCGAGCGAACGGACGAGAAGCUUGCUUCUCUGAUGUUAGCGGCGGACGGGUGAGUAACACGUGGAUAACCUACCUAUAAGACUGGGAUAACUUCGGGAAACCGGAGCUAAUACCGGAUAAUAUUUUGAACCGCAUGGUUCAAAAGUGAAAGACGGUCUUUCUGUCACUUAUAGAUGGAUCCGCGCUGCAUUAGCUAGUUGGUAAGGUAACGGCUUACCAAGGCAACGAUGCAUAGCCGACCUGAGAGGGUGAUCGGCAACACUGGAACUGAGACACGGUCAAGACUCCUACGGGAGGCAGCAGUAGGGAAUCUUCCGCAAUGGGCGAAAGCCUGACGGAGCAACGCCGCGUGAGUGAUGAAGGUCUUCGGAUCGUAAAACUCUGUUAUUAGGGAAGAACAUAUGUGUAAGUAACUGUGCACAUCUUGACGGUACCUAAUCAGAAAGCCACGGCUAACUACGUG